RNAcentral lists this ribosomal RNA (89 nucleotides) under Histioneis sp. FTL70. Its description in RNAcentral is "partial small subunit ribosomal RNA". It matches the Rfam family "Eukaryotic small subunit ribosomal RNA", at positions 1742 to 1829 of the family's 1831-position model. The record is from RNAcentral. Lineage: Eukaryota; Dinophyceae; Dinophysales; Dinophysaceae.
GUUGCCGUGGAAGUUUGGUGAACCUUAUCACUUAGAGGAAGGAGCCAGUCGUAACAAGGUUUCCGUAGGUGAACCUGCGGAAGGAUCAU